This 250-nucleotide unclassified non-coding RNA is filed under the name Hevea brasiliensis (rubber tree). Lineage: Eukaryota; Viridiplantae; Streptophyta; Magnoliopsida; Malpighiales; Euphorbiaceae. The record is from RNAcentral.
AUACAUAUUUAGAAAGGCUUUCAUAAUCCAUCACAUCAAGCUGAAUAGCUGUUGCAUUUUGAAUACCUUCAAUUGUCUCAUUGGCAUCCUUUUGGUAAAGAGAUGCCACAAUAACUUGAAACUCUUCGAUUUCUUCAGCAUUGGCUCCUCGUAAUGUAUUGAAAGAAUCACAAGACAUUUUUCCUAUUGAUGCUAAAAGUUUAGCAGCUGGACGGCAAACACGACCUGCACCAAGAAUCAAAACUGCUCG